AACGAACGCUGGCGGCAUGCCUAACACAUGCAAGUCGAACGAGACCUUCGGGUCUAGUGGCGCACGGGUGCGUCACGCGUGGGAACCUUCCCUUAGGUUCAGAAUAACUCCCCGUAAGGGGUGCUAAUACCGGAUAAUGUCUUCUAACCAAAGAUUUAUCGCCUUUGGAUGGGCCCGCGUUGGAUUAGCUUGUUGGUAGGGUAAAAGCCUACCAAGGCGUCGAUCCAUAGCUGGUCUGAGAGGAUGAUCAGCCACACUGGGACUGAGACACGGCCCAGACUCCUACGGGAGGCAGCAGUGGGGAAUAUUGGACAAUGGGCGAAAGCCUGAUCCAGCAAUGCCGCGUGAGUGAUGAAGGCCGUAGGGUUGUAAAGCUCGUUUACCCGGGAUGAUAAUGACAGUACCGGGAGAAUAAGCUCCGGCUAACUCCGUG
This 433-nucleotide ribosomal RNA is filed under the name uncultured bacterium. Its description in RNAcentral is "partial 16S ribosomal RNA". It matches the Rfam family "Bacterial small subunit ribosomal RNA", at positions 29 to 507 of the family's 1533-position model. The record is from RNAcentral.